GUCUUUUUGAAAUUUAUAAAAAGUCUAGCCUGCUCAAUGAACAUAAAUAGCCGCGGUAUUUUGACCGUGCGAAGGUAGCAUAAUAAAUAGUCUAUUAAAUGUGGUCUGGAAUGAAGGGUUGAACGAGGAAUAACUUUUUUAAUUUUAAAGAUGAAUUUAAAUUAUUAGUAAAAAUGCUAAUUUUUUAUAGAGGGACGAGAAGACCCUAUAGAGCUUCAUAUUUUUUAUAAUUGUGGUAUGAAUUAAAAAAUAUAUUUUGUUGGGGCGACAUAUAGUGUAAACAUUAUUAAAAAUCUUUUUAAAAGGUUUUAGAUCCAUUAUUAAUGAUUGUAGGCUAAGUUACCUUAGGGAUAACAGCGUAAUUUUAUUAUAGAGUUCUUAUCGAUAAUAAAGUUUGCGACCUCGAUGUUGGAUUAGAAUCCCUUUUAAGCGCAGCAGUUUUUUAAGGUAGUCUGUUCGACUAUUAAAAUUCUACAUGAUCU
RNAcentral lists this ribosomal RNA (482 nucleotides) under Otostigmus scaber. Its description in RNAcentral is "partial 16S ribosomal RNA". It matches the Rfam family "Bacterial large subunit ribosomal RNA", at positions 1819 to 2606 of the family's 2925-position model. Lineage: Eukaryota; Metazoa; Arthropoda; Chilopoda; Scolopendromorpha; Scolopendridae. The record is from RNAcentral.